This 11638-nucleotide long non-coding RNA is filed under the name Fragaria vesca (wild strawberry). RNAcentral describes it as "long non-coding RNA (FVES_LNC005510)". The record is from RNAcentral. Lineage: Eukaryota; Viridiplantae; Streptophyta; Magnoliopsida; Rosales; Rosaceae.
GAAGUAAAUGCUCUUAUUUUAUUUGUUAACUUCGCUAUUUGGAAAGUUACUAAAAAUGAGAUUUUCGGUGGAGUCAUAUAUUUAUUGCUUCAUUUAUAAUUGUCAAUUUUCAUUAUUUUUGGAGAGUUACCGAAAAUGAGAUUUUCGGUGGAUAUGUAUAUGAAUAAUUUCUUUUCUUGGAGAAUAACCGAAAUUGAGAAUUUUGGUGAUUAUAUAUUCAUUUAUGAAUGAUUAGGAGAAUAGUAUGUAUAUGAAUAAAUGGUAGCUAGCUAUACGUGCGUUUCCGUCAUAAUGAGGUAAAAAUUCUAUUAUGGCGCGACGUGAGCGUUAGACCCAAUCGUCGUUGCCCUAUAUAAAUUUAGUAAUUUAUAUAGGGAAUAUGCACGUAUAUAUACACUCGUGCUUUUCUGUCAUAAUGAGGUAAAAUUCCAUUAUGACCCGACGUGAGCGUUAGACGCAAGCGUCGUAGCCUUGCACGAAUUUUUAUUUUUCUUAUUUGUUUUAUAGAAUUCGUACAAGGAAUAUUGUCACACCCCAAUUUUCGUAGGAUAAUUUUUAAAAAUUUUAGCAUGAUAUAUCUUAAAAUAUUAUAAUCCCGUAACCUGUUUCAACAACAAACUUCACAGGAAACUAAAAAUUCGAUGCGGGAAUGUAAUUCACACAACUCAACAUUGAGUUAAAUAAUACAUUUCCUUGUUUACAUAAACUUGAAAGUCAAGAAAAUGAAACACUCACAUGAGUUUAAUACUGUCUAACCCAAAUAUAAAAAUAUACCGAGUACAGCAAAACCCAACAAAAAACCCUGCCACUAAGCCUCCGCCUCAACCCUGCUAAUCCUCACAUGUAGGUCUAACCCCUACACCAAGAAUUGGUGCACCGGGUUGUAAACAACAAACCCGGUAAGCUAAAAAGACCGUAUGAGUAAUUCUCAAAAUAACACAACACCUCCAACAACCCAUUGUAACACAAGAACAAUUAUAUCAAUAAUUAAAUCCACAAAUCCAACACUUUUGCAAUUAACAUGUACCCAUGAGUCCCAGGUAUUAAUAAAUACCCCUCAUGACCUACAACAACGAACUGUGUACCCAUGGGUCCUAGAUACCAUACGAUAUCUCACAUGACCUACACUGACAGACGGACUAGAGCUCUAUUCCUAACCGCAACCAAUCACCCGACUAAAGGCUUGGAACCCGGUUUGACUGUUUAAUAUUAAACACAAAAAUGAUAAAUAGCAUAUUAACCGCAACCAAUCACCCAAUUAAAAGCUUGGAACCCAGUUUGGCUAUUUAUCCAACAAUCAUUAUAUCACAACAUUAUCCUCAACAACACAAUACCACAUCAUUAUUCUCAACAACACAAUAUCACAUCAUUAUUCUCAACAACACAAUAUAGAUAUUCCACAAGAAUAAUCUAUCAAAAAUCAAUAAAAUUAUGAUCACAUGAAUCUCAAAAUAGCAUUUAAAGAAAACUUGAUUUAUCUUACCUAUGAGCCGUUGACGAUCAAGCUCAUAUAUUUUUAAAAACAAUUAAAAGCAUAUUAUUAAAUCCAACAUCAUCAUCAUUAUCAUCAUAUGACCAUAAUAAAAUUAGGUUCAAAAGUGAACCUUGGUGAGAUUUAUUCACCUAGAUAUCCUGCUCCGAAACCCCCAACCUAACGAAGGCAAGCCAACCACAAAAUCAUAAAUCACCUAAAAUCACACAAUUAAAAACCUUAGAAACCAAAGUAGUAAAGGAUAACACAAUACCCUUAAACUAACCCUUAGCUCAAGGGAGGACAACUUCCCAAAGUCGUUGAACUCAAUGACACAACAGAGCUGCCUCAACUCUUCAAAACCUAAACUCUAACCCAACCAAGCCAACACCAAUAAACUUAAGUCCUAGCAUGCCAACCUUGCUUAAAAUCUAGUCAUACUACCACUCAACAAGCUUAUAACAGCAAUGACUAGCUAACCACAAGAAACUAAGGCCGCCACUCAGCCGGACGCGCCGCCACGUGCCACCACAGGCGGCGGCUAGUGGGCCCCACGCGCCACCCCAAACUUCUGAUUUAGGAGAAACUCACAACAGCAAAGUUGAAGCUUGAAGCAAGGGGAACAACUUUCAUACCUGAGGCUUCAACCAAUUUUGGCCGGAACCGACCGGAAACUGCCCCGAAAACAGUAACCCGAAUCAAACCGCAACACCUUCAAAUCCGGCCUCAAAACCUCAAAAACUCACUUCAAUCUAUGCCUAGCCACAACUAGAAGGAAGAGGGGAUCAAGACUCACCUAAGGAGGCCCCUCGUCACCGCCGUAUACGGCGGUUCCAACCGGUGGCACAGCAGCCCCCUUUUGCCGGCAGAAAGCGUUGUUUCCGGCAUCCCACAUCGAGCAGCAGCUGCCCAGCCUUGAAGAGGGCACCUACGGAGUCGAACGGGACAGGCGCGGUCCAAUCGGUGGCCGGACGGUGGUGCUAGCUCCGGCGGGAGUUGGGUUCUCGGGGAAACUCGGGAGAGGAAGAGGGAGAAGAGAGAGAAGAGAGAAAAGAGAGGGAAGAGAAGAAAAAAAAAGGCUGACUUGUUUUUAGGGUUUCCAAAAACAUCCUACACACAUUUUUCUACUUAUAUUUUUUUCAAACCCGGAAACAAACUUCCUCUGAACAUAACUUCUUCAUACGACAUUCGUUUUAAACGUGCUACAUGUCUACGAACUUGUAUUGACAAACUCUACAACUUUCGUGAAGGAAGUUUUCGAAGAUAACUCACGGAAAAUAAAGUCAACUUUUGGCCUCUUAAAAGUCAAACCAUCUUAAAUUAAACUCCGGAAACUUCAACUUCGCAUAAACCAAGAAAUUUUCAUAAAUAAUCCUUCAUUAAUUAUGGGAAUAAUACAUGGAAAAUUGAUAUGAAAAUCUAGGGAAUUACAAAUAUGACGGGUGUAAAUACAUACAUAUAUAUAUAUAUAUAUUUGUUUAGCCUAAGAGGCUUUAUUUUUUUAAGUUUGGAGACUAGCCGGAGCUAGUCAUGUAAUUUCCAAUCAAUGAGUUGAGAGCUUUUGAGCUGCCGCAUGCAGUAUAUUUUCUAUGGAAAUUUAAAUUGGGAAAGCAUAAAUAUUUUCAUUAAAUUAAUUUUUGUCCACUCACUGUAACGUUUGCAAAUGUUUUCCUCUAGGCCCUUCGUUUUAAAAAUGCCCAGUUUGCAGGUUAGCUUUGUUGAGGUCGGGCAUACAUGGAGAAGAGGCAUAAUCUUUAGUAUAGCUUCCGCUCUUUUUUUUUAUUAUUUCUAGUUCAUUUCCUCUCAAAUAGAGUUGCUCUGAACCUGUGAUUGGUGGUUUGAGUUUUUCUAUAAAGUUAGUAAAUAAAUUGGGAGAUGUUGUGUUUUGAGGAGCACGAAGGCUCUAGGAGUUUAAGGUUGGAUUUGGAUUUUUAGUAUUUUUUAUUAUUUUUAAGUGUUUGCAGGUUAUUUUUUUUUUUAGAAGGGUUGUCCAUUUUCAAGGGAGGUUAUGCCGUAAUUUUCGGUUAAACUUUCCUUGAAGGUGGUCCCCACAGGAUUUACUUCUAGUUUCAGGGUGUAAAGUUCGGGGUGGGUCCUGACACUAUAAUUAGUUUAAGUAAAUAAAUUAGGAGGUGUUGUGAAUUGGGGANCAGAAGGCUNNNANNAGUGNUGAUUUAANGUGUUUGCAGGUGUUUUUCAGGUUAGGGUUNUCCAUUUUCAAAGGAAGUUAUGCUGAAUUUUCGGUAAACUUUCCUUGAAGGUGGACCCCACAGGAUUUACUUCAGUUUCAGGGUGAAAUUCGGGGUGGGUCCUGACACUAUAUUUAGUUUAGUAAAUAAAUUAGGAGGUGUUGUGAAUUUGGGGAGCACGAAGGCUCUAUGAGUAUAAGGUUGGAGUUGGAUUUUUAAAUGUGUUUGCAGGUGUUUUCAGGUUAGGGUUGUCCAUUUUCAAAGGAAGUUAUGCUGAAUUUUCGGUAAAUUUUCCUUGGAGGUGGACCCCGCAGGAUUUACUUCGGGUUUCAGGGUGAAAUUUGGGGUGGGUCCUGAUAUGAACAACGUACAUACAAAAAUUGUAGCAGUAAUUAAAACCAAGAGCAAUAAUAAGAAGCAAACAACUCACCAAGAUACCUCAUAAAUCACAGACAUUUAUGAGAAACCACACUGAGAUGACAAAAUUAGGGAUUCGAAACCUCACCAAUCAGAUUCUGGAAGGCCAAAACCCAUAGAUCAAGCAUCGGUCGUCCUCACAGAGAAGAAAGAAAAGCAUAGACAAGAAUUCUGGAGAAGAGAGACGAUGGAUCUGGAGGACUCUCUCCUCUAUCACCAAUCUCCGACCAUCGGGGUGGACUCACCAUAUAUCGUAGCCACCAUCUUUGCCUUCCUCCGAUGAGUCAAGGCCAGGCUCUGUCAUCCGGCUAUAACUCUAUCUAGUCCACCAAGACCACCCCUGAGAUGAUCAAAAACAAAUCUUUGUAGAUUCAUGCUCUAAAGAUUUGUGGAGAGAGAGAGAGAGAGAGAGAGAGAGAGAGAGAGAGAGAGAGAGAGAGAGAGAGAGAGAGAGAGAGAGAGAGAGAGAGAGAGAGAGAGAGAGAGAGAGAGAGAGAGAGNNNNNNNNNNNNNNNNNNNNGAGAGAGAGAGAGAUAGGCUAGGGUUUCAGACUUUCGUUGAGAGGGAGAGAGAUGCGGCUUUGGUGAGAGCGAGAGUGAGAAAGAAACGAAUUCUGUACAAAACUACAUAUGCGGCUUUGGGUUUCAGAUUUUCAAUUGUGUACAAGAUUUAACCUAGUCAUACCGCUUUUUUACAUUUUUAGCCACAACCUAUAACUUGUCGUUGCGAUCAAUAAACAAGAAUGUGACGGCGUUUGUGUGCCGUUGCAAUUUUCAUUUUUUUUUGCCACAGCUUACCAGUCGCCAUUGCAAACUCCUAUAAAUUUAGCGACGACCCGUUUGCUGUCACUGCGCCGUGGCAAAUGUUGGACUAACGGCGACAGCAAAACUGAGCCGUGGUAAACUUCAGUGGCUAACUGAAUUCUUUUUGUAGUGUUUUAGCACAAUCAUCCUCUCAACAUUCUAAACAACUUUCAUAACUAGCACAAAGUCCAAUUUUAAGCCUAACUAGGGUAAUCGAAGCCAAACAUUAAAAAUCCCAAUUUAAAACCCUAGAAUUUCAAAUGCUCGAUUUUCCUUAGCUAGAUCAAGAUGGAUUGAAACCUUUUGAGGUUUUGUGGCACAGGAAGAGGGCUUCCAAAUGAGACCAACAACUCCGCUAUGGUGGCAGGAAAAGAGAGUUCUGACGAGAACACCACCACGGUGCAGCCGCGACUUCACGGCGAGUUUGCUCUCUCACGGCGGCGCGACAUGGGCUGCCACCUACCUAGACUUGUAGAGGAUGCUCUGAGCUUCAAUUUGAUACCAAGCUUGCCGCCUAUCUUGGCCGGACGGCGGAGGAUGGAGGCAGGGAAUCCGGCGGAGGAGAGAGACGCAAGAGAGAGGAGAGAGAGAGGGAGGUGAAAUCUGAUUUUUUACCUUACCUCAAAUGGUAAGUUUCCAAUUUUAAUACCCCCAACCGAAAUAGUAACUUUACAUUUUACACCAUAAGUUUUACAUACGAACUCUGAUUUUAACGUAUAACAUGUCCACGGAUUCGUAUUAACGUCCUUUAUGACUUCUUUAAAUAAAUUUUCCCAAAAUAAUUUUCCUACAAAAAGUCAACUCUAGUAAAAUGACAUAAACCAGCCUCGCUGGUUGAUCAAAUAUAUACCUGAGAAGAAUAAAAUAAGGGAAAGAGUUAUCACCAUGAAAAAGGAGUCUCCUAGGCUCGGGUCGGUGCUUCCUAGGCCAUAAUAGCGUCCCACGAUAAGCGCUCUACUCACCUAUAGUGAGGACCGCUAAUAAUGGCUAGCUAAGUAAUAAAUAUAAAUACCGAUUGGUUGCCUCCCAGGCUAAUAUAGCGUUCCACGCUACGCGCUCUACUCACAUAUGAAGAUGACCCCUAAUAAGGCUAUAAUAGCGACUCACAUAUGAUGUGGACCGCUAAUAAGGUUAGCUAGCAAUAAUCAAUAUAAAAGCGACCCUAUAUUAUGGUGACUAAAAUCAUACAAGAAUCUUUUAAAUCCAUGAAACUUCCCCAAGAUCAUACGAAUGGUACGGUUCCCAACCGUACUUGAAAAUCAUCAUAAGAAAUUAUAAUAAACUCAAUGACGUGUCUCACAUGUCAAAAUAUUCUCAAAACCAUAUCAUAAGCGAGAUUUAAUUAACAAGUAAAAAUCAGAAUUAAUAUCUCAAUCCAAAAUACUCGCUUAAACAUUCUCAAGAUCAAGAUCGAUAUUCCACCAAUAAUUUCCAAAAUUAUAAAUAGCAAACUAUCGAAAAUCCAUUUUCGGAAAUCUUUUAUAAAUCUCAAAGUCCACCAAUAAAACCAUUUUAAUGAAAUCCAGAAUUUAUAAUCGGAGCUCAAAUCCAUAAAUCAUGACCCAUAAUUAAUCAAUGCUUCAAUCUCAAAUACUUUCCAAGAUCAUUUCAUAAACCAAAAUUAUAAUAUAAACUCGAAAAAUAAAUUAACAAAUUAUAAAAUCUUGCAUGCAAAUUUAUUUAAAACCAAAAUGUCCACUCACAAAUUUAGGCAUAAGCCCAACGAUAACCGCAUCGCCACUCAAGCGAGGUUCCCUUCGCUUCCUGGCACAACAACCAUGCUUAGAACCAAACUUCAAUUCCAGAAAAUAAAUACGUGAAUAAAAGCAUCUAACUCUCUUCCGUUGAACCCACUACUGUUAAUAGGGUUAAACUCGCCGGAUUCACACCAAACUCCACCACAACCUUAAUUCAUCAAUUCUAACUUUCUAUAAUAAAUACCAAGGAAAUCCAACGGCCGGAUUUUUGUUCUAAUAACCGGCAAAAUCCUUAAUCUUUUAAAAAUCCCAAACCUUAUCAAAACUCCUCCAAAAAUUCAAACUAUACUUCAUUAAACUCCUCUCAUUAUAACAAACCCAAAAACUUGAAAAACAACCUCCAAGUGGUGGCGGCGCCGCCUGCUCCACCAGCAGCCGUACUCCGGUGGCGCCCAUUGCCUCCCAAAAUUUAACAGAAUAAUCCUCUCGUCAAGCACAAUAACUUUCAUAACUUGCACUCAGUCCAAUUCUAAGCUUAACUAGGGUAAUCGAAUCAAAACAUCCAAAAAUCCCCCAAUUCAAACCCUCCUACACACUUCGAAUUGGAUCAUUACCUUCUAUGGAAAUGUUACACAUGGAGAGCACUUCCAAAUGGGACUGAAAUCACCGGAGAUGGUGGCCGGAGGAGCGAGUUCCGACAUCGGGACUCCACCACGCAGCCGGAACUUUCGAGAGCUCUUCCUCCCUCACGGCGGCGCUAGGGCGGCUCCCAUCAGUCCAAGAAGAGAGCUGGGUCGACGGCCGACCAUUUAGGACCGGUGCGGCGGUCUCUGGUGGCCAGACGACAGCGGACGACGCUGGGAAAGUUUCCGGCAGGAGAGAGAGAGAAGAGAGAGAGAAAGAGAAUGUGGGUGUUGGGCUUCUCCACACCCGGUCCAACACUUAAAACACCCACAAAAUAAAACCCAAUAAAAAUUUACCCCUUACCAACUAAUGUUUACCCUUUUAAUUGAUAACUUUGUCAUGCAAACUUCGAAUUUAACGCAUAGCAUGUCUACGAACUCGUAUUAACGUCCACUACGAUUUUCAUGUAGGAAGUUUUCCCAAAUUCCAAACGGAAGAAAAAGUCAACUUUUAGAGUCUUAAAAUAGUAAACGGUUACAUAAAACGGUAAAAGACCAAAAUAAUACCAAAGUAAGUAACCGUAAAAUAACUUAAGAACCGGGGUGUGACACUAAAAGACUAAUAAAAAGAAACUAUGGCAAUUUAUCUAGAACCAAAGGUCAAUUUUCGAUCCCGUGCUGACAACGCCAAAAACUUGUUGUCAAAUUUUAAUAACUUCGCAAGUACACGAAUCGUUUGUAGUAUAGCUUAUAUGAAAAUACGAGGUCGUUCCAACUAGGGAUUGAUAACUAACUUUUAAUUCUGACUAAUUGACCAAAUUACUCUAAUGACUAAUCAAGAAAACAAGAAGAUAUUUUUGUGAUUUUUGUAAACAAUGAGAAAAGAGUAAAACAAGCAAAUUGAGAAUGUCACACAAGAUAAUUGAGAAGAUGUUUUUGAAAAGUUGUAGAACAAUGAUGGAUGAAUGCUAGGGCUUCUAACUUCACCGUCAUAAUCCUAUUCGUGUUCCUAGUCUUCUGAUUACUAACUACUAAACCGGUGUUGAAAAAUCCGUCAUAUAAGCCUUAGCAGAGUAUUUAUACUGACAAGACCCACCUCGAAAACACAUAGAAAAAUAAGCAAGUCUUGCGGGAUCCACUCUUAAAAGAGAUUAUACCGAAAUUUCGGCAUAAUCCCCCCUAAAAAUGGACAACCCAACAUGCGAGAAAAGAACCAAGAACACUUCAACUAUAUCAAAGAACCACAUCUCCUGGAGUCCUUUGCUCCCCACAACAAAAUCCAAGUCAUAACAGCACUUAACCAAUUCAAACCCAAUAUUCAACUACGAUAUUUAAACACAAACACCAACCAAAGUUAAACUCCCUACUUGGGUUAUAACCCUUAAAAAUAACUCCAACUUAUUUUACAUAUCCCGAUGGUCAUCAGAGCACUACAAGAAGGAAAUAUAAUACUACACAUAGGUUAACAGGUAACGUACGGUCAACAAGGUGCAGCGGAAAACUAUGCCUCAACUCCUAGUGAAACCAAACAGGAGCUCUACAAUCUGGGCAUUUGAAAACAAAGGGCCCAGGGAAAAGCAUUUAAAAACGUUAGCAUGAGUGGACGAAAAAUAAACUAAUUAAUAAGUAUCCAAGAGCAUAAAGAUACUAAAUCAAAAUUUUAUAUGCUUUUCCAUUUUUACGGAAUUCAAGAAUUUUCAUGCAUGCAAAUAUUAUAAACUCAACAAAAAUUCCAACUAGCCCCGCUAGUCAUAAAACAAUAAGAAAAAUAUAUAGAUUUCUCAUUCAAGAAACUUUCAAAAUAAUGGACUAGCCCUGCUAGUCAAAUUAACAACUCAAAUAGAAUAUCCUAUAUGGCCAUAUAAAUGAGUCUCCCAGACUCGGUUGCCUCCCAUGCAUAGUACUCCCAUACUCUCUGUACUUUCACGUCGAGUGGACGGAUAGAGCACAGGGCUUGCGUGAUACCGCCGACAACAUCACAUCACCACUAGGGUGGAAAGAGCUUGCGUGACCCCACUUGAAAUGUGGGAGUCACAUCACCUCGAGAGGUGGAACGACAUACUAGCAUUGACAUCAUAUAAUCCAACAAUUAUAGCAUAAGAAAGAAAUAAAUUAAAUUUAAUAACGUGUCCCACACGUUACAAUGCGCAAAAUAAUAAUUAAGCCAGAUAACCCACAUAUUUCAAAUCUCCAAUCAUGCAUGCAUAUUUCAUUAAAAAUAAAGUGUCCACUCACAAUAUAGAUGGCUAUGCCUGACGUCGGUCAGAGCCCUCCUCACGUGGUGUCCCCUCUCGUACUGUACAAAACGAGAUUUAAGGUCAGAGACAAAAAUACAAGAAUAUCAAAUUUAACAAAUAUAAAGUCCUCCUCACUUACUCUAUACUCAUCCAAACCUAAGAAGAACUCCAACCUUAUUUUUACUAAUCAUCUCCAAUUUCUCCUCAAUGUUCUAACACAUAAUGAAAAAUAUGGAAAUUCCCAAGGAUGAGGCUCACCUCUACUCUUUCACCAAAAUCGACUUAAACUUUCCUAAAUUCCUACUAACACUUACCAAAAUUUCCAAUACUUCAAUACCACUCAUCUCUCACCCAUGGAACCAUCAAAACUAUCCCAAAUUCCAAACACUCUUCACCAAAAAUCACCAUACAAUACAACAACAUUUAUCCCUUCUAGAACUCAUCCAAAAUUACUCAAAACCACCACCAAAACCGGCAGCAGUCACCGGCAGUGGCGGUCAACCACCACCACUAAAUCAACUUCAACCAAAAUUAACAAGGCAUACAUCAAACUCUUCCUCUCAUCAAGCAUAACUAGGGCUGGGCACGGAACGGGACGGACCGGGAUUUGGUGAAUCCCGUCCCGUCCCGAAAAUAAAAGAACGGGACGGGACGGGACGGGAAGGUGUUUUUAAAAAUCUGUCCCGUACGUCCCGAUCCCGAUCGGGAUCAGGAUGGGACCGGGACGGGAUCGGGAUCCCGAAAAAUUUUUUUUUUUUUUUUUUUUUUUUAAGAACAAAUUAAUUGAUUAUCAAACACCACCACAGGUGGAAAACAGGUUGAGAAACUCCAAGCAUUCAAAUGCUCCACCACAAUUGAUCAGUGUAUGAAAUUUUCGACAUUUUUAUGCUGUUUGGAACAACAUUAAUGAAAUUAAUGGAAAAAAAAAUAUCCAAAAACACAUAAACAAAAAAAAAAAGAACAUUGAUGAAAUUAGAAGUACUAAAAUCAACAAGAACAUAGGUGCAUAGGUGCUAAAUUACAUCCCACUUUAAAAGUACUAAACAUCCCACAUUAAAAAUUAACCCUCAAACAACAACUAAAAAUAUCCAAAAUCACACAAGCAAAAAAAAAAGAACAUGAAUGAAAUUAAAAGUAUUAUUUUAGACCAAAUUAAGUGUGGUUGAGUGCAUUGUAACACCAUGCAACCUAAAAAAUCAAGUAUAAAAUGAAUAAAAUCAAGUAUUCUAAUAUUACGGGACGGGACGGGAUUACUAUUUUCAAAACCUAUCUCGUCUCGUCCCGCUAACUUUCGGGACGGGACCGGUACGGGAUCGGGAUUCCGGUACUAAGUGCCCAGCCCUAAGCAUAACAACAAUCAUGACUAACACAAACUCUAGAGCUCAAAGAUUUGGCCAGAAAACUCAUUAUAAACUCAAGAACUUAAGAGCUCCGAUUUGCUCUAUACUCUAAAUCGUUCUACCUCUUUUGGGUGGUUGAAAGACUAAUCAAAGAGCUACAAAACCCCCCAAAGAAACCUUGAAUCGGUGGCCGGAGAAGGGAGUUCCGGCAAGAGCAACCACGCGGUAGCAGCGGCGUCACCGCGCCUUAAUGCCGGCGAGUAAGGACCGGUCACCACCUCAGGCUGUACGAGCGGUGUCCCAGCUGCCAGACGCGACCCGUGCGGCGGCCAGGCGUGGUCGGACGGCGGCGAUCGGUUGGGGAGAAGCCGGACGGUUCGGGGUUAGGGUCGGGCUCAGGGAGAGAGAAAGGGUGAGGGAUGUGUAUUUUCUGAUUUUUUUACCUUAACCAAAAGGUAAGUCUCCCUUAAAUGCCUAAGCCCAAAAAUGGGUACUAUUAUUAUUGAACUACCCUUCAUUUACGAACUCUUAUUUGGGUAACUAAAAAAUCUAUGAACUCGACUAAACCACCUCUAUUAAGGAUAACAUACUAAAUUUCCGAAUUGAUUAGCUACCACUAAACCGGAAAUCAGAAUAUAAAAAUAAUUACUAGGUUUGGGGUGUAUCAUAUACGUAUAAGUUCUCCAAAGCAUGAAUACUACCUUAUGGCAGAGUAUAGUAUCCAACUAUUCUUAGAAGUAUGACAUCUACUCUCUAAGGGUCAAUGAAGUUCGAUGAGAACAAAAGGACUCACAAACCAGUAAAACAUGGCUCCUAUCUUAUCAAUCUAUGGUUUUUAUCAUAAGAAGCAUUCAAGAUUCA